UGAGGGUAUUUCGCCCGAGACCUGGUA
Molecule: non-coding RNA, 27 nt
Filed under: Mus musculus (house mouse)
Lineage: Eukaryota; Metazoa; Chordata; Mammalia; Rodentia; Muridae
Source: RNAcentral